RNAcentral lists this ribosomal RNA (253 nucleotides) under uncultured bacterium. RNAcentral's name for it is "partial 16S ribosomal RNA". It matches the Rfam family "Bacterial small subunit ribosomal RNA", at positions 524 to 776 of the family's 1533-position model. The record is from RNAcentral.
UACGGAGGUGGCAAGCGUUGCUCGGAAUCACUGGGCGUAAAGGGCGCGUAGGCGGGGAGGUAAGUCGGGUGUGAAAUCCCUCGGCCCAACUGAGGAACUGCGCCCGAGACUGCUUCUCUUGAGUCCCGGAGAGGAAGAUGGAAUUCCCGGUGUAGCGGUGAAAUGUGUAGAGAUCGGGAGGAACACCGGUGGCGAAGGCGGUCUUCUGGACGGUGACUGACGCUGAGGCGCGAAAGCUAGGGGAGCAAACGGG